UGACGUUGCGUGUGACUGUUUGUGUGACUGUGUGUGACUGUGUGUGUGACUGUGACUGUGUGUGUGACUGUGUGUGACUGUGUGUGUGACUGUGUGUGGCUGUCUGUGUGUGUGAGCCCUGUCCGUGUGUCUGUCUGUGUGUGUGAGCCCUGUGUGUCUGUCUCUGUGUGUGAGCCCUGUCUGUGUGUCUGGCUGUGUGUGAGCCCUGUCUGUGUGUCUGUCUCUGUGUGUGAGCCCUGUCUGUGUGUCUGUCUCUGUGUGAGCCCUGUCUGUGUGUCUGGCUGUGUGUGUGAGCCCUGUCUGUGUGUCUGGCUGUGUGUGAGCCCUGUCUGUGUGUCUGUCUGUGUGUGUGAGCCCUGUCUGUGUGUCUGUCUGUGUGUGAGCCCUGUCUGUGUGUCUGGCUGUGUGUAAGCCCUGUCUGUGUGUCUGUCUGUGUGUGUGAGCCCUGUGUGUCUGUCUCUGUGUGUGAGCCCUGUCUGUGUGUCUGUCUGUGUGUGUGAGCCCUGUCUGUGUGUCUGACCCCGCCGAGCCCGCGGGGCGCUCCCGCCGCAAGAUGGCGGCGCCGCGGCCCCGCCCCCGCCUCGCCCAAGAUGGCGGC
RNAcentral lists this long non-coding RNA (598 nucleotides) under Lonchura striata (white-rumped munia). RNAcentral's name for it is "domestica (Bengalese finch) lncRNA (ENSLSDG00000017278.1)". Lineage: Eukaryota; Metazoa; Chordata; Aves; Passeriformes; Estrildidae. The record is from RNAcentral.